Molecule: ribosomal RNA, 500 nt
Filed under: uncultured bacterium
Lineage: Bacteria
Description: partial 16S ribosomal RNA
Rfam family: Bacterial small subunit ribosomal RNA
Source: RNAcentral
AGUGAACGCUGGCGGUAGGCCUACACAUGCAAGUCGAACGGCAGCACGGGUGCUUGCACCUGGUGGCGAGUGGCGAACGGGGGAGUAAUACAUCGGAACGUACCUUAUCGGGGGGGAUAACGCAGCGAAAGCUGUUCUAAUACCGCAUACGCCCUGAGGGGGAAAGCGGGGGACGGCAGGACCUCGCGCGACUAGAGCGGCCGAUGCCUGAUUAGCUAGUGGCUGGGGUAAAAGCCCACCAAGGCGACGAUCAGUAGCUGGUCUGAGAGUACGAUUAGCCACACUGGGACUGAGACACGGCCCAGACUCCUACGGGAGGCAGCAGUGGGGAAUUUUGGACAAUGGGGGCAACCCUGAUCCAGCAAUGCCGCGUGAGUGAAGAAGGCCUUCGGGUUGUAGAGCUCUUUUGUCAGGGAAGAAACACCGGCUCUAACACAGUCCGGGAAUGACGGUACCGUAAGAAUAAGCACCGGCUAACUACGUGCCAGCCGCCGCCGUAA